UGGGGAAUCUUGCGCAAUGGGCGAAAGCCUGACGCAGCAACGCCGCGUGAGCGAAGAAGGCCUUCGGGUUGUAAAGCUCUGUCAGGAGGGACGAAGCCACUCGGGUGAACAGCCCAGAGGGUGACGGUACCUCCAGAGGAAGCCCCGGCUAACUACGUGCCAGCAGCCGCGGUAAUACGUAGGGGGCGAGCGUUGUCCGGAAUCAUUGGGCGUAAAGCGCGUGUAGGCGGCUUGGCAAGUCUGGUGUGAAAGCUCGAGGCUCAACCUCGAGUCUGCACCGGAAACUGCCUUGCUAGAGUCCGGAAGAGGAGACUGGAAUUCCUGGUGUAGCGGUGAAAUGCGCAGAUAUCAGGAAGAACACCGGUGGCGAAGGCGGGUCUCUGGGACGGUACUGACGCUGAGACGCGAAAGCGUGGGGAGCAAACA
This 426-nucleotide ribosomal RNA is filed under the name uncultured prokaryote. RNAcentral's name for it is "bacterial SSU rRNA". It matches the Rfam family "Bacterial small subunit ribosomal RNA", at positions 355 to 774 of the family's 1533-position model. The record is from RNAcentral.